UAUUGCAAUUGGCUGGUGAUGAUGGUGGUAUUAUUGGAAUCACUCACAUGGUUAAGAGCCUCUUAAGGACCGUCUCUGAUCAGAGCCGGUCCUUAAGAGGCUCUUAACCAUGUGUGUGAUUCCAAUAAUACCACCAUCAUCACCAGCCAAU
Molecule: microRNA precursor, 151 nt
Filed under: Pelobates cultripes (western spadefoot toad)
Lineage: Eukaryota; Metazoa; Chordata; Amphibia; Anura; Pelobatidae
Source: RNAcentral